CUGCUUGAAUGGUCACGAAGAAAAGGGUCAGGAUGUACGUCAAGAAAUUCUUUGUUUUUCCCUGUGAAGAUUUGACAUGUAUCGCUGUAUUGGGUCUGAGGGAGGUCGUAAAUGGAUGGAGUAGGAUUAAUAUUUGACAUUUAUCGCUGAAUUGGGUCUGAGGGAGGUCAUAAAUGGAGUAGGAUUAAUGUGAGUUAAUGUCACUUUUUCCGGUGGUGGUUAAAAAUUUAUUCUUGGUGCUGUAUUUUUGCGUUUUGUAACUGGUUAUGUGCUUUACUGUUCUAACUUUUGAACUGUUGGAAGUGAAGCAGGUCAGUAUUUUAUAAUCUCUGAAUUUGUGCUUCUUUGGA
Long non-coding RNA from Photinus pyralis (common eastern firefly), 350 nucleotides. RefSeq lists it as uncharacterized. NCBI's taxonomy places the organism in Eukaryota, Metazoa, Arthropoda, Insecta, Coleoptera, Lampyridae. The record is from RefSeq and is a predicted model, not a curated record. The transcript is spliced from 3 exons.